Long non-coding RNA from Pipra filicauda (Wire-tailed manakin), 502 nucleotides. RefSeq lists it as uncharacterized. The record is from RefSeq and is a predicted model, not a curated record. The transcript has 2 exons. NCBI's taxonomy places the organism in Eukaryota, Metazoa, Chordata, Aves, Passeriformes, Pipridae.
CAGCCACCUGCUCCCCACUCAGCCUGCGUGACCCUGAGCACACCUUGAUACAGAGCAGGAGAACACCCGGUGAUUAAGGUUUGCACCGCCAGGGCUCCACUCUCCAGCCAAGGGCACAGUGCCCCGACCUCAGCUCUGGGGGGACACCCCAGGGGGCUCAGCUGUCUCUCAGCUUCUCGUGGACUUGUGAUCACCUGGGGAUUCUUCUCUGCCCCCGAGAUGGUGCAGCUCCAAGGAAGGCAGCAGAGGAAGAGCAGAGCUGAUGCAACACGGAGGCAAAGCAAACCUUGGAGCUCAGAGAGCCAAAACCCUCACAUUUUCAUUUUUUGGCCUUUUGAGGUUUUCUUAAUUUGUCUAUUUUUGUUCCUCGCCCACCUCUGCGCUGAGUGUGACGCGAGCCCUCGCUGGAGAGGCAGGGUUUUAAGGGAGAGCGCUGGCUGUUAUAAAGCAGUGAAGCUCUUGGAAAAACAGCCUCUGGAGCAAUAAACAGAUUUGGAGCUGA